Molecule: long non-coding RNA, 1166 nt
Organism: Gossypium raimondii (Peruvian cotton)
Lineage: Eukaryota; Viridiplantae; Streptophyta; Magnoliopsida; Malvales; Malvaceae
Exons: 3
Source: RefSeq, a predicted model, not a curated record
GCAAACCCAAUUUUAAAAUUGGGCUUAAAAUCAAUGACCUAGUCCAAUUCACCAUCAGCCCACCAUUAAUGGCGGAAAAGCAUUUCGAGUAUUUGAUGAAUCCUCUCGCGGUGGUGGCGCUAAUGUAUUGUCUAUCAGUAAAUGUGACUGGAUUUGUACAUGUGGGGUUUCAAGCCUAUACUCUAGCUUACCGUCUCGUCACAAAAAAACAUGUCAUCAGUCCUCCAUGGAUCAGGCAAGGUUGAGUUCAUUUCACAUGCCUUCGCAUCCAAUAUGCUUGUGAAAUUGAGCAAUAUGCAUGGAUUCAAGUGUUUACAAUAUAUAUAGGUUAAAUUCUGCUAUUAAUUUUUGUACUUUGUGAAAGUUUUGGAUUUAGUCCCUGUACUUAAAUUUAAUCAAAUUUUAGUCUUGACCCAAACAAUAGCAUUUAAAUUUUUUGGUUAAAUUCAAUUACUAGUCUUGUACUAUGCGUACAAUUAUAUACUUAGUUCGUAUUUUUCAAUUGGAUCAUUUCAAAUCCCUAUAUUGUAAAAAUUUUGAAAUUUCAGUCUUGACGCAAAUGAUAGUCGUUAACGCAUUAACUAAGUUUUAGUGAGUAGUAUGUGAAAAUAACAAGCUGAUGUGACAUUAAAUUUUGGAAAUAGCAGAACUUAAGGAGUUUAAUAGUUCUUGUUCGAUGAGGACUGAAAUUUAAGAAUUUGAAAAGUAUAAAGACUAAAAAUGAUCAAAUUAAAGUAUGGGGAUUAAAUCCCUAACUUUUGCGAAUCACAGGGACUAAUAGCAGAAUUUAACCAUGUAUAUAUACAUGGCCUGUUUGAAUCACAAAAUGUCCAAGUGAAACACAUACAAAUGCAUGUAAGCAAAACACAAAAGAGAAUUGCUUGCUUCUUUGGUUCAUACUGCUGAUGCUAGCCUAUCCUUUUUGCUUUCCGCAUCAUCUGCUUCGGCCACCCGAGUUGAUGAGUGGCCAAUCUAGUUGGUGUAAAGAUGAAUUCAUUGAAAUGGUUAGUGCCUUAGUUAUAAAUAGCCUAUUCUCAUUCUCACCUUGUACAAUUGUUUUAUUUUAAUAGUCAAUUGUGCUUGUUUGAAUCUUUAUUUUGUUCGAAAUACAUCUGAACUCUAAUAAUAUAAGUUUUGACUCUUCUUAGCGUGUAUGAUGUUCAUAA